UUUCCGUAGGUGAACCUGCGGAAGGAUCAUUAUUGGCUUUUGAAACUUCAGGCUGCUGCUGGCUCUCCUCGGAGGGCAUGUGCACGCUUGUUGUCCAUUAUUUCUCCCACUGUGCACAAAUUGUAGACCUUUCAGUAGGCCUAUGUUGUUUUUCACAAUCUCUGAAUGUAAUAGAAUGGUUUUGAAUCUUGGGAAAUACAAUACAACUUUCAGCAACGGAUCUCUUGGCUCUC
This 233-nucleotide unclassified non-coding RNA is filed under the name plant metagenome. RNAcentral's name for it is "partial contains small subunit ribosomal RNA, internal transcribed spacer 1, and 5.8S ribosomal RNA". The record is from RNAcentral.